RNAcentral lists this ribosomal RNA (221 nucleotides) under uncultured bacterium. Its description in RNAcentral is "partial 16S ribosomal RNA". It matches the Rfam family "Bacterial small subunit ribosomal RNA", at positions 524 to 743 of the family's 1533-position model. The record is from RNAcentral.
UACGUAGGGUGCAAGCGUUAAUCGGAAUUACUGGGCGUAAAGCGUGCGCAGGCGGUUUUGUAAGUCUGUCGUGAAAUCCCCCGGGCUCAACCUGGGAAUUGCGAUGGAGACUGCAAGGCUAGAAUCUGGCAGAGGGGGGUAGAAUUCCACGUGUAGCAGUGAAAUGCGUAGAGAUGUGGAGGAACACCGAUGGCGAAGGCAGCCCCCUGGGUCAAGAUUGA